UUUUACCCUGCCUUGUCGUUGUGAUUCCUUUGGACUUUAUUAAAUACGUCUCUUAUACGGAUCUCAGUCUCCUGCUAUUUUUAACAACGUGACAGAAUCCCGCACCCUCCAGAUGGAGUCAGCAGGAGCCGAAUCACCGUCCAUGGCCGAACAAAUCUCACAACAUGCCAGCCUCCUUCAAUGCCUGGGCACGGCCAUGGAUCAGGUGCUGAACCGUUUGGAGAACUGGGAGAGAGUCGCUCCCUCACCCCCAUCAGUACCUACACACCACCCUGCGCCCCUACCAGCAACCAUCGAACCCAGCACGAGUGGGAUCUGGAUCAUGCCUCCUAGGGAGUUCGAUGGGACGGCCGCCGGGUGCAAGGGGUUUCUCCUUCAAUUAGAGCUGUACCUGGCGACCGUUCGGCCCAGUCCCUCGGAUGAAGAGAGGGUGAGCGUCCUCAUCUCCUGCCUCACGGGUAGAGCCCUAGAAUGGGCCAACGCAGUCUGGGAAGGCCCAGACGUGGCUAGAGGUGACUACCCGGAGUUCGCCCACUCCGUUUCCAGGUGGUAUUCGAUCAUCCCCCGGAGGGCAAGGCGGCGGGUGAGCGAUUAUUUCAUCUGAGGCAGGAGACGAGGAGUGCUCAGGACUUUGCCCUAGAGUUCCGGGCUCUCGCCGCCGGAUCGGGGUGGAAUGAGUGGGCCCUGAUUGACCACUAUAGAUGUAGUCUUUGUGAGGACGUCCACCGGGAGCUGGCUUGCUGGGACAAUUCUACCACCCUGGACCAACUUAUAGACUUGUCCAUCAGGCUGGACAACCUACUGGUUGCCCGGGGACGUUCCAGUCGGGGUCUGUUUGUUCCACCUCCCAGGCCUCCUGCUCCUACACCCAUGGAGAUAGGAGGGACUGCCACUAGGAGGACCGGAGGGAGGGGCCUCUCCUGCGCCCAUUGUUGUCGUAGAGGACACACUGCAGACCGGUGCUGGAGAGGUCCACCCGGGAGUUCAGAUGGCAGGCAGAGCACCACAUCGACCCCCCCAGGUAGAUACACCAACAGCAAAGAAUCAUUACCUGAAAAUGCAG
Molecule: long non-coding RNA, 1063 nt
Filed under: Salmo salar (Atlantic salmon)
Lineage: Eukaryota; Metazoa; Chordata; Actinopteri; Salmoniformes; Salmonidae
Description: lncRNA (ENSSSAG00000114603.1)
Source: RNAcentral